RNAcentral lists this transfer RNA (75 nucleotides) under Candidatus Roizmanbacteria bacterium. RNAcentral describes it as "tRNA-Asp". It matches the Rfam family "tRNA". Rfam says of the family: Transfer RNA (tRNA) molecules are approximately 80 nucleotides in length. The record is from RNAcentral. Lineage: Bacteria; Candidatus Roizmaniibacteriota.
GGUCUGUUAGGGGAGUUGGCCGUCCCUCCCUCCCUGUCACGGAGGAUAUCACGGGUUCGAAUCCCGUACAGACCG